AAUCUUCCGCAAUGGGCGCAAGCCUGACGGAGCAACGCCGCGUGAGUGACGAAGGUCCUCGGAUUGUAAAACUCUGUCCAGAGGGAAGAAAUAAGUGACGGUACCACUGGAGGAAGCCCCGGCUAACUACGUGCCAGCAGCCGCGGUAAAACGUAGGGGGCGAGCGUUGUCCGGAAUUACUGGGCGUAAAGGGCGUGUAGGCGGCCAAGUAAGUCAGUCGUGAAACCCACCGGGUUAACCGGUGGCUGGCGAUUGAAACUGUUUGGAUUGAGUGCAGUAGAGGGGAGUGGAAUUCCCAGUGUAGCGGUGAAAUGCGUAGAUAUUGGGAGGAACACCGGUGGCGAAAGCGGCUCCCUGGCCUGUAACUGACGCUGAGGCGCGAAAGCGUGGGUAGCAAACAGG
This 402-nucleotide ribosomal RNA is filed under the name uncultured bacterium. RNAcentral's name for it is "partial 16S ribosomal RNA". It matches the Rfam family "Bacterial small subunit ribosomal RNA", at positions 360 to 776 of the family's 1533-position model. The record is from RNAcentral.